AAUGAACGCUGGCGGCAGGCCUAACACAUGCAAGUCGAACGGAUCCUUCGGGAUUAGUGGCGGACGGGUGAGUAACGCGUGGGAACAUACCCAAAGGUACGGAAUAGCCUCGGGAAACUGGGAGUAAUACCGUUUGUGCUCGAAAGAGGAAAGAUUUAUCGCCUUUGGAUUGGCCCGCGUUGGAUUAGGUAGUUGGUGGGGUAAUGGCCUACCAAGCCGACGAUCCAUAGCUGGUUUGAGAGGAUGAUCAGCCACACUGGGACUGAGACACGGCCCAGACUCCUACGGGAGGCAGCAGUGGGGAAUCUUAGACAAUGGGGGAAACCCUGAUCCAGCCAUGCCGCGUGAUCGAUGAAGGCCUUAGGGUUGUAAAGAUCUUUCAGGUGGGAAGAUAAUGACUGUACCACCAGAGGAAGCCCCGGCUAACUCCGUGCCAGCCGCCGCGGUAA
RNAcentral lists this ribosomal RNA (449 nucleotides) under uncultured bacterium. Its description in RNAcentral is "partial 16S ribosomal RNA". It matches the Rfam family "Bacterial small subunit ribosomal RNA", at positions 29 to 523 of the family's 1533-position model. The record is from RNAcentral.